AGUGGGAAUAACUCGGGGAAACUCGAGACUAAUACCGCAUACCUUCACAUGAUCGCAUGGUCGAGUGAAGAAAAGAAUUUCGCUCUGAGAGGGUCUCGCGGCCUAUCAGCUUGUUGGUGGGUAACGGCCUACCAAGGCAACGACGGGUAGCUGGUUUGAGAGAACGAUCAGCCACACUGGGACUGAGACACGGCCCAGACUCCUACGGGAGGCAGCAGUGGGGAAUCUUGCGCAAUGGGCGAAAGCCUGACGCAGCAACGCCGCGUGCGGGAUGACGGCCUUCGUGGUUGUAAACCGCUUUCAGCAGGGACGAAAAUGACGGUACCUGCAGAAGAAGCCCCGGCUAACUACGUG
This 354-nucleotide ribosomal RNA is filed under the name uncultured bacterium. RNAcentral's name for it is "bacterial SSU rRNA". It matches the Rfam family "Bacterial small subunit ribosomal RNA", at positions 135 to 507 of the family's 1533-position model. The record is from RNAcentral.